AGAAACUAACAAGGAUUCCCCUAGUAGCGGCGAGCGAAGCGGGAAGAGCUCAAAUUUAUAAUCUGGCACCUUCGGUGUCCGAGUUGUAAUCUCUAGAAGUGUUUUCCGCGUUGGACCGCACACAAGUCUGUUGGAAUACAGCGGCACAGUGGUGAUACCCCCGUACACGGUGCGGACGCCCAGCGCUUUGUGAUACACUUUCAAUGAGUCGAGUUGUUUGGGAAUGCAGCUCAAAUUGGGUGGUAAAUUCCAUCUAAAGCUAAAUAUUGGCGAGAGACCGAUAGCGAACAAGUACCGUGAGGGAAAGAUGAAAAGCACUUUGGAAAGAGAGUUAACAGUACGUGAAAUUGUUGGAAGGGAAACGCUUGAAGUCAGACUUGCUUGCCGGAGCUUGCUUCGGUUUGCAGGCCAGCAUCAGUUUUCCGGGGUGGAUAAUGGUGGUUUGAAGGUAGCAGCCUCGGCUGUGUUAUAGCUUUCCACUGGAUACAUCCUGGGGGACUGAGGAAC
RNAcentral lists this ribosomal RNA (507 nucleotides) under Rhodotorula kratochvilovae. RNAcentral's name for it is "eukaryotic LSU rRNA". It matches the Rfam family "Eukaryotic large subunit ribosomal RNA", at positions 60 to 570 of the family's 3401-position model. Lineage: Eukaryota; Fungi; Basidiomycota; Microbotryomycetes; Sporidiobolales; Sporidiobolaceae. The record is from RNAcentral.